UACGUAGGGGCCAAGCGUUGUCCGGAUUUAUUGGGCGUAAAGAGCUCGUAGGCGGUUCGGUAAGUCGGGUGUGAAAACUCUGGGCUCAACCCAGAGACGCCACCCGAUACUGCUGUGACUUGAGUCCGGUAGGGGAGUGUGGAAUUCCUGGUGUAGCGGUGAAAUGCGCAGAUAUCAGGAGGAACACCAGCGGCGAAGGCGGCACUCUGGGCCGGUACUGACGCUGAGGAGCGAAAGCGUGGGGAGCAAACAGG
Molecule: ribosomal RNA, 254 nt
Filed under: uncultured bacterium
Lineage: Bacteria
Description: partial 16S ribosomal RNA
Rfam family: Bacterial small subunit ribosomal RNA
Source: RNAcentral